This 293-nucleotide long non-coding RNA is filed under the name Mytilus galloprovincialis (Mediterranean mussel). The record is from RNAcentral. Lineage: Eukaryota; Metazoa; Mollusca; Bivalvia; Mytilida; Mytilidae.
AGAUGUGGACAUCACUUUGGUUGUACCCUGUUCUUUUAUUGGUAGUUCCUUUAACUAACAUAGGAAGGUGUAACGAUGAACAGAGACAGCAGGUCUUUUGUAGAGAAAUCAAUCAAAACUGCAGUACCAAUAUGAAUGAACUAGAUGUUGAAUGGGGCAAUUGUUUGUCGGCUUUAAGCCAAUUCCAAUGUAGAGCCAACCCGCUGUGUAUGGUCGAUUCAAUGCCAUGUAUGCUUAACUUUACAGCUUUUUUGGAACAGUUGGAUUUAUAGCUUCUGAAUAAAACACUGGAG